This 447-nucleotide ribosomal RNA is filed under the name uncultured bacterium. RNAcentral describes it as "bacterial SSU rRNA". It matches the Rfam family "Bacterial small subunit ribosomal RNA", at positions 330 to 794 of the family's 1533-position model. The record is from RNAcentral.
UCCAGACUCCUACGGGAGGCAGCAGUGAGGGAUAUUGGUCAAUGGGGGAAACCCUGAACCAGCAACGCCGCGUGAGGGAAGUCGGUUUUCGGAUUGUAAACCUCUGUCCUCUGUGAAGAUAAUGACGGUAGCAGAGGAGGAAGCUCUGGCUAACUACGUGCCAGCAGCCGCGGUAAUACGUAGGGAGCAAGCGUUGUCCGGAUUUACUGGGUGUAAAGGGUGUGUAGGCGGCCUUGCAAGUCAGAAGUGAAAUCCAUGGGCUUAACCCGUGAACUGCUUUUGAAACUGUAGGGCUUGAGUGAAGUAGAGGCAGGCGGAAUUCCCGGUGUAGCGGUGAAAUGCGUAGAGAUCGGGAGGAACACCAGUGGCGAAGGCGGCCUGCUGGGCUUUAACUGACGCUGAAGCACGAAAGCGUGGGUAGCAAACAGGAUUAGAUACCCGAGUAAA